AGACAAUAGAUACCCUGGUAGUCCACGCCGUAAACUAUGCUUGCUAGCUGUUAUCAGUAUCGACCCUGAUAGUAGCGAAGCUAACGCGUUAAGCAAGCCGCCUGUGGAGUACGAGCGCAAGCUUAAAACAUAAAGGAAUUGACGGGGACCCGCACAAGCGGUGGAGCGUGUUGUUUAAUUCGACGGUAAGCGAAGAACCUUACCAAGGCUUGACAUCCUGCCAAGCUCUCUGAAAGGAGAGUGUGCCUUCGGGCCGCAGUGACAGGUGAUGCAUGGCCGUCGUCAGCUCGUGUCGUGAGAUGUUUUGGUUAAGUCCAUCAACGAGCGCAACCCUUAUAGUCAGUUGAAUUUCUCUGGCUAGACUGCCCCGGUAACGGGGAGGAAGGAGGGGAUGAUGUCAGGUCAUUAUUUCCCUUACGCCUUGGGCUACAAACACGCUACAAUGGCCGGUACAAAGGGCAGCUAAGUCGCGAGACGGAGCAAAUCCCAUCAAAGCCGGUCUCAGCUCGGAUUGUAGGCUGAAACCCGCCC
RNAcentral lists this ribosomal RNA (531 nucleotides) under uncultured bacterium. Its description in RNAcentral is "bacterial SSU rRNA". It matches the Rfam family "Bacterial small subunit ribosomal RNA", at positions 774 to 1317 of the family's 1533-position model. The record is from RNAcentral.